This is a long non-coding RNA of Cyprinus carpio (common carp), 262 nucleotides long. RefSeq lists it as uncharacterized. The record is from RefSeq and is a predicted model, not a curated record. Lineage: Eukaryota; Metazoa; Chordata; Actinopteri; Cypriniformes; Cyprinidae. The transcript has 3 exons.
CAGUGUCAGAAGAGGCAUUAACCCGUGCUUCUCUGUAACACUUACAGACACUUCAACACAGACAGCUCAUCACAAGGCUGAACCUCACUGGAGCUUCAGAAUCUGCAGCAAUCACAAAAUGAUCAGCAAAGAAGACGAGAGUCAAUCAACUGAAGCAGGAGAGAAACAGACACGGAGACAAGUUACACGGAACAGCAUUUAUGGAGACAGACCAAACUACUGACCUGCAGAGAUUCAUUCUGAGGAUUCAAAGACAGACGCU